AGGGGAGAGGGGGGAGGAAUUGCAUUGGGGAGUUAUACAUGAUAUAAAUGAUGACCAUUUAAGGUCACAUCUAUAUUCUGUGUUUAGAAGGGAUCAGAAAAAGCAAAUUUGGGUGUUUUUGAUACUCUCCUCAUUGCAGGAUUUGAAAUGUGCUCUUCUCAUGGAUGAGGUAUAUGGGUAAAUAAAAAUGUUAUUUAUUUGCAUCUGUGUUCAUUGACCUUUGGACAAUAUUUUAUUUAGUAAUAAUUAGUCUUAUAAGGAGAUAAUACUGAUUAUAAAAUGGACUGAUUUUCAUUCAUGAAGUUGGCAAGUUUUCUUAGUACUAAUGUGAGACAUUUUCAAUUUUGUUUUUUAGAUCUAAAUCAGAAGGUAGCACUCAGACAUAUGCCAGCCAAUCCAUCUCAGAAGGCAGCACUGAGACAUAUGCCAGCCAAACCAGAUCAGAAAGCAGCGGUCAAGCUGAUACUAGCAAAUCCAAAUCAGAAGAUAGUACCCAAGCAUAUACUAGCAGAUCCAAAUCACAGGAAAGUACCCAAACACAAAGCAGUAGUAACUAGUGGUUCCUUCAGAAGGCAACGGAUAACAUCGAGAGUCUCGCUAAGAAAUGAAAAUUCUGUCUUUCCUUGCGUGGUCACAGCUGAAAGAAACAAUAAAUUGAGUGUGGAUCAAUUUGCAUGCC
This 679-nucleotide long non-coding RNA is filed under the name Rhinopithecus bieti (black snub-nosed monkey). RNAcentral's name for it is "lncRNA (ENSRBIG00000045593.1)". The record is from RNAcentral. Lineage: Eukaryota; Metazoa; Chordata; Mammalia; Primates; Cercopithecidae.